This 486-nucleotide ribosomal RNA is filed under the name uncultured bacterium. RNAcentral describes it as "partial 16S ribosomal RNA". It matches the Rfam family "Bacterial small subunit ribosomal RNA", at positions 30 to 507 of the family's 1533-position model. The record is from RNAcentral.
AUUGAACGCUGGCGGCAUGCCUUACACAUGCAAGUCGAACGGCAGCACGGGUGCUUGCCCCUGGUGGCGAGUGGCGAACGGGUGAGUAAUACAUCGGAACAUGUCCUGUAGUGGGGGAUAGCCCGGCGAAAGCCGGAUUAAUACCGCAUACGAUCUACGGAUGAAAGCGGGGGACCUUCGGGCCUCGCGCUAUAGGGUUGGCCGAUGGCUGAUUAGCUAGUUGGUGGGGUAAAGGCCUACCAAGGCGACGAUCAGUAGCUGGUCUGAGAGGACGACCAGCCACACUGGGACUGAGGCACGGCCCAGACUCCUACGGGAGGCAGCAGUGGGGAAUUUUGGACAAUGGGCGAAAGCCUGAUCCAGCAAUGCCGCGUGUGUGAAGAAGGCCUUCGGGUUGUAAAGCACUUUUGUCCGGAAAGAAAUCCUUGGCCCUAAUACGGUCGGGGGAUGACGGUACCGGGAGAAUAAGCACCGGCUAACUACGUG